Actinobacillus minor NM305 is the source of this 88-nucleotide non-coding RNA. The record is from Rfam. Lineage: Bacteria; Pseudomonadati; Pseudomonadota; Gammaproteobacteria; Pasteurellales; Pasteurellaceae.
AUCUAUGGUAGCGUGUAAUGGGAAAGGUUCGCCCUUUGCUGUGUUCCAUAUGUCGCAGUUUUCCAGCCCGUUACACGUUACCGCCCAA